GACGGAACCGUGCGAACGUUGUUCGGAAUCACUGGGCUUAAAGGGUGCGUAGGCGGGUCUUUAAGUCAGGGGUGAAAUCCUGGAGCUCAACUCCAGAACUGCCUUUGAUACUGAGGAUCGUUGAGUUCGGGAGAGGUGAGUGGAACUGCGAGUGUAGAGGUGAAAUUCGUAGAUAUUCGCAAGAACACCAGUGGCGAAGGCGGCUCACUGGCCCGAUACUGACGCUGAGGCACGAAAGCGAUGGGGAGCAAACAGG
RNAcentral lists this ribosomal RNA (256 nucleotides) under uncultured bacterium. RNAcentral's name for it is "partial 16S ribosomal RNA". It matches the Rfam family "Bacterial small subunit ribosomal RNA", at positions 524 to 776 of the family's 1533-position model. The record is from RNAcentral.